AGUGAACGCUGGCGGUAGGCCUAACACAUGCAAGUCGAACGGCAGCACAGUAAGAGCUUGCUCUUACGGGUGGCGAGUGGCGGACGGGUGAGGAAUACAUCGGAAUCUACUUUUUCGUGGGGGAUAACGUAGGGAAACUUACGCUAAUACCGCAUACGACCUACGGGUGAAAGCAGGGGAUCUUCGGACCUUGCGCGAUUGAAUGAGCCGAUGCCGGAUUAGCUAGUUGGCGGGGUAAAGGCCCACCAAGGCGACGAUCCGUAGCUGGUCUGAGAGGAUGAUCAGCCACACUGGAACUGAGACACGUUCCAGACUCCUACGGGAGGCAGCAGUGGGGAAUAUUGGACAAUGGGCGCAAGCCUGAUCCAGCCAUACCGCGUGGGUGAAGAAGGCCUUCGGGUUGUAAAGCCCUUUUGUUGGGAAAGAAAAGCAGCAGGUUAAUACCCCGCUGUUCUGACGGUACCCAAAGAAUAAGCACCGGCUAACUUCGUG
This 492-nucleotide ribosomal RNA is filed under the name uncultured bacterium. RNAcentral's name for it is "partial 16S ribosomal RNA". It matches the Rfam family "Bacterial small subunit ribosomal RNA", at positions 29 to 507 of the family's 1533-position model. The record is from RNAcentral.